RNAcentral lists this transfer RNA (72 nucleotides) under Camelus bactrianus (Bactrian camel). It matches the Rfam family "tRNA". From Rfam's summary of the family: Transfer RNA (tRNA) molecules are approximately 80 nucleotides in length. Their secondary structure includes four short double-helical elements and three loops (D, anti-codon, and T loops). Further hydrogen bonds mediate the characteristic L-shaped molecular structure. tRNAs have two regions of fundamental functional importance: the anti-codon, which is responsible for specific mRNA codon recognition, and the 3' end, to which the tRNAs corresponding amino acid is attached (by aminoacyl-tRNA synthetases). tRNAs cope with the degeneracy of the genetic code in two manners: having more than one tRNA (with a specific anti-codon) for a particular amino acid; and 'wobble' base-pairing, i.e. permitting non-standard base-pairing at the 3rd anti-codon position. RNAcentral also lists the same sequence under 2 other names. The record is from Rfam by way of RNAcentral. Lineage: Eukaryota; Metazoa; Chordata; Mammalia; Artiodactyla; Camelidae.
GUGGGUAUAGCUCAAUGCAAGAGAACGUGCUUAGCAUGCACGAGGUCCUGGGUUCAAUCCCCAGUACCUCCA